Long non-coding RNA from Sceloporus undulatus (fence lizard), 2484 nucleotides. RefSeq lists it as uncharacterized. The transcript has 4 exons. The record is from RefSeq and is a predicted model, not a curated record. Lineage: Eukaryota; Metazoa; Chordata; Lepidosauria; Squamata; Phrynosomatidae.
UGCUGCGGAGGGGACUCGCGAGCCAAAAGGAGGAGGGGCCAAGAAGCCCCGCCCACUUUCUCUCAUUCUCGAAAUUCAGGAGGAGGGGGCACAAGAAGCUGCGCCCAGUCUCUUUCAUUCUCGAGAUCUGCGCCUGCGCACAGGCUCCAGCCCCUUCUCUUUCUUCCCGCCCACUGCCGGCGCAGCCGUUGCUUCCUUCCUUCUCGCGCCCUCUCCAAGUCUCGCGCGCCGGUGUCUCGCGAGGCGUCGGCCUCGUUGAUGGUUCGGCCUCGCAGAGGAGAAGAGAAAGGAGAAAAAUCUUAGCCACAGAUGUGCUGGCUAUACUUGGCUUUGAAGAUGAUCUGCUUCAGAGGAUCAGCCAGUCCUUUGGAGCUGAUUUUGUGAGGUACCAAGGCUUUCAAGAGAAUGGGGAAUCUGUUCUCCCAACAGUGUCUACUCAGUGGGGAAAAAUACCCUCUUGGACUUUUACCCACUAUUAAAUACAGUAUGUAGAUAUUCAGCAAGAGAUUUGAGCAUGGAACAAGAUGAAGAAUACUUCACUGAAGUACAUAAUACUUUGCGUGAACAUUUGCAGUCAACUGGCUUUUCCCAUCCAAAGAAGUGAUUAAGACUAAACAGCUCUUUUAUCAAUAUAGGAAAAAAGGCUUUCAGAAGAAGUCUUUAAAUGAUCAGACUUAAGAGGUACUUGUCCCUUAACAGCAGGACCCGCUCCACUUCUAAAGUGAAGAUACUGCACUGUGGGAUGAGGUAGUAGGUUGUAUAGUUUUAGGGUCACACCCACCACUGGGAGAUAACUAUACAGUCUACUGUCUUUCCUAAAGAGGCAGACAAUCAUCAUUGACAUCUUUCUAUUUUAUGUUGCUGGAGUUUGGUUGACUAGGAAGAUUUGUGUUAGGAUCAGACCAUCCAACUUGGUAAGAAGAAUGAAAUUCAAAGUGUGGGAUCUUGACCAUUAUGGUCAGAAAACAGCUUAUGGCCAGAGAUCUUUUUGUCAUCUAUUCUCUCUCCCCAUCUGCCCCACAAAAACUCACUCAGGAGUGUCUUGAAUGGUGUAGGCUGUGGUGCAGAGAAUUGCUGUGAGAAGUGGGAAAUCUUCCAAAUUGAGGAAGACAUCUUGUGGAAACAAGCUUUGCUUGAACAAGAUGCCUAUGCCUGAUGUUGACUUAUUUUCCCUUGUCCAGUAUAGCAGUGCCCUAUCCCACACCAUCCAUGGUAGAAAUGAGGGAAAAAGUUCUGUUAAAUGAAUUGUUCUCAGGGCCUAUCCUAAAGGCAAGUAGACAUUUAGAGGACUAAUUAAACGUGGUUAGAAUUCUCUUCUAAACAGAUUUCUCUUUAUCAGGUUGAGGUAGUAGAUUGUAUAGUUGUAGGGCAGUUAUUUUGCCCUCUUCGGGAGAUAACUAUACAAUCUAUUGCCUUCCCUGAGGAGUAAAAUUUCUGCAAUAUUCUACUUACUGAGUUAAUAAUCUUGACUGAACUUCUGUUAAUGGAAUAGUCCUUGAUUUGAAAAGAAUAGUAAUGACAUGCUUCUUUAUUUUAUUUUUUUUCAGUAUGUUAUGUCAGACUAAAAUCUAUCACAGUUCUGUCCUGAUUUCUAUAAUUGUUGUUUUCUGAAACUUGCAUAUUGAAGAAAGCUGGUUGCCUGUUUCGCCAGGAAAAUGCAGGUGGAUGUAAUCUCACAUUUUUUAUUUAUCAACUCCUGCAAAUGUGGAAAAUGAUAAAGGGCAUUUGAGUUACUCCACUGAAGGAAAUACUUUCUCCAAUGGCAGAUGGGUUGAGCUUUAAGAGUUUUAUGUAUUGCUUCAGGAUCUUUUCAGAUGCAUACCUUCUGAAAAUACAUGUCAUUUGGUUUAAACUGUUGGAUUUUUAAAAAGUAACCAUUACUUUGUCUCUAGGUUGGUGCGUGGAAAAUCCUUAAUUUUGUAUGAUAGAUAGGUGACAAGCCAAUGAAUAUUUGUUUUAUUAAUUCAGUCAUGUUAUACUAAGUGUUUUACCUUCACAAUUACCAUGUGCAUUUUGUACUAUAGCAUCCUUUGAUUUCUUUUAAAAAAUUAUUGUGUGUUACAGCUACUAGUUUAUUUUUGGAAGAGCUGCAGAAGAAAUGGUGGGUUCCUAGGAAGAGGUAGUAGGUUGCAUAGUUUUAGGGCAGUGGUUUUGCCCAAAAGGAGUUAACUAUACAACCUGCUGCCUUUCUUAGGGCUUUAAUAUUACAACAGGAUCAUUUUGGCUCAGUUUAAAUCAUCCUCAGCCAUCUAAAUAUAAAGCUUUCAUGGGCCCAAAUAAGUCAGAUAUGUGAGAAUAUCUUAAACUUCCCGUUAGCAAACAAAAUGUUUCUUAAGGAAGAAAACUAGAACGGUUCUGUGAUACAAAGUAUUUAUAAAACAAUCUAUGCUAAGUGGGAAUGGUUUCAAGUCUAAGGCAAAAAUGAUACUGACUCUUCUAUAUUUCUGUGUAAUAAAAGACUCAAAACUGAGUAUACCAAAUUCA